GAUGAACGCUGGCGGCGUGCUUAACACAUGCAAGUCGAACGGUGAAGGCGGAGCUUGCUCUGCUGGAUCAGUGGCGAACGGGUGAGUAACACGUGAGCAAUCUGCCCCUGACUCUGGGAUAAGCGCUGGAAACGGCGUCUAAUACUGGAUACGAGCUGCGAAGGCAUCUUCGGCAGCUGGAAAGAAUUUCGGUCAGGGAUGAGCUCGCGGCCUAUCAGCUUGUUGGUGAGGUAAUGGCUCACCAAGGCGUCGACGGGUAGCCGGCCUGAGAGGGUGACCGGCCACACUGGGACUGAGACACGGCCCAGACUCCUACGGGAGGCAGCAGUGGGGAAUAUUGCACAAUGGGCGAAAGCCUGAUGCAGCAACGCCGCGUGAGGGACGACGGCCUUCGGGUUGUAAACCUCUUUUAGCAGGGAAGAAGCGAAAGUGACGGUACCUGCAGAAAAAGCGCCGGCUAACUACGUG
This 468-nucleotide ribosomal RNA is filed under the name uncultured bacterium. Its description in RNAcentral is "partial 16S ribosomal RNA". It matches the Rfam family "Bacterial small subunit ribosomal RNA", at positions 28 to 507 of the family's 1533-position model. The record is from RNAcentral.